AAUAAGUUUAUUUUUUAGAUUUUGAUACAAUCUUUGACUCUUUGUCUUAUUUGAAAAUUUUUUUACGAUUAAUGUUUUUAUUUUUAUUAGAUGAUAAAACAUUAAUAAUACUUUACGAGUGACUAUUUUUAAAUUUUUUAAUAAAAAUUUUAGAUAAGAGGAAUGGUCAAACGCUAGACAUAGAAGUC
RNAcentral lists this microRNA precursor (188 nucleotides) under Oryza brachyantha (malo sina). RNAcentral's name for it is "MIR812 microRNA precursor family". It matches the Rfam family "MIR812 microRNA precursor family". Lineage: Eukaryota; Viridiplantae; Streptophyta; Magnoliopsida; Poales; Poaceae. The record is from Rfam by way of RNAcentral.